UGGGCAGGGGAGGAGUAAAGCAGAGGGGAGGAGAAAGCAAGGGUUAGUUUGGGGUCUUUUCUCUUUGUGUGUGAGUUAGAGGAACUGUGUCUGAGUGUUGGUGAAGUGCUGCUUUGCUGUUUAAGAAGCUGGUAGCGUAGUGAAAAUGGGGUGCUGCUGCAGUAAGGAACUGAGCCCAGGUCUGCUAAGUGAGAGGACCAGGCUGCUUCAGGCAUCAAGCCCAGAGGCGCUGGGGAUCAAACACCAGGACACACUACACACUAAAGCUUUGGCUCAACAUGUGUCUGACGAAAUGGCUCAACACACGUGUGUACCGGACGGACCGGCCAAACGGAAACUUCAGGAACAGGAGAAGAAGAACAAUGUCAUCCCGGACAACGUGUCGACAGGCCCCAAGGCGAGGCAUAGCAGUGUCAGUGGCAUGCGGAGUGGGGGGCUACUCACUCCGCAACACUCACACGAGGAGGAACUGGCUAUUAUUAACGCCUCCACAGGCCCCAGCAUGGUCACACAGACAAACACGGACACACACACACACAUGGACUCGACGGAGGCAGGCGUGCCACACACACCCGCUGCCAAGGCCAGGGCCAGCUGUGGGAAUGUUCCAUAUUUGGAGGAGAGUGUGAAGAGCCCAUUAAAACAGAAGACAGCAGAGAACACUAUGGAUAAUUCCGUUAGACAAAGGAUACAGAACACCAUGGAGAACCCACCCAAACAGAAGAUGGAGAAGACAAUGGAGAACCUAGCGAAACAGAUAGAGAAUACCAUUCAGAACCCAGACAGACAGAUAGAUAGGAUAGAGAACACUGUGGAGAGCCCAGUGAGACAGAGGAUAGUGGAGAACGCCCUGCUUAGGUCUACUUGGUUCAACCAGACCCCGGAGCCCGGCCAGGAAGAGACAGAGGGCUGGAGGACCCCCCUGGUCGGAACAUCCCCAACCCACCAGCUGUAUAAUAUCAGAGCUGGGGGGGAUUCCACUAGAGUAGGAGCAGAGGAAGAUGAGGAGGAAGACUGUGUCAUCAGGGCAACCUUGGGGCGGGGUUUCAGGGCCAGAGCUCAGAGCUUCUACAGCAUCUGUUCCAUCGAUGCUGACGACCUCGACACUGACCAAUCCAACACAGAGGAACAGACAGCCUUCAUCCAAUCACACACAGCGGAACCUACAGCAAUCCAAUCACACAUAGCCAAAACUACAUCCUCUAUUCAAUCACACGUAGCCGAACAUACAGCUUCUAUCCAGUCACACAUAGCCGAACCUACAGCUUUCCAAUCACAUUUAGAGGAACAUACAGCCUCUAUCCAAUCACCCGCAGAAAAACCUGAAGCCAAUGACCAAUCACACAGAGUGGAAUCUGCAAAGGCUGACCUAUCGCACAUAACGGAACCCAAGGUUUCUGAACCCAUGGCUUCUGACCAAUCAAAAACAGUUGAAUUUACAGCCAUCGACCAAUCACAAACAUUGGAACCUACAGCCUUUGACAAAUCCCACUGUGAGCCCCCCGAGGCACCUGUUCUGCCGGACCUUCUCUGGAGAAGCUAUGAGGACCCUCAGACUUCACAACAGGACAGCUCCAUCACCCCCGGAGACACCAGGACCCCACCACUAACUGGAGACAUUACAGAUCCCGACAUACUUGAGCUGACAUCACGCCAGGAGGAGAGUGUGUGUGUUAAGGACGAGAAUGUGUGUGUUAAGAAGACAGGUAUUUUGUCCACAGUGAAGACUGUUGAUAGCAGCCAGGAAGGAGAAAACACAAAGAGGGAUUUGAACCUCCAUGAUACUCAAAACAAUAUUUCCACCCCCACAUACCCCUGCCCUCCUAACCCUACCCUUACAGAGGAGCAGCUCACACACAGCCCCAGCCUUAGCUCUAGCCCCAACUCCAGCCCCCUGCUUGGGGCAGUGGAUGGGGCCACAUGUGUAGAGGAGAUGGAGAGGAUUGAGGUAUACCAAGCGGUCUCAGUGAGGAUGAUCAGUGAGGGGCUGAAAGGAGAGACAGAGGAGGAUGAGGAGGAGGAGGAGACCAUACUCAGCAGCACAGUGGAAACCACACUAACAGAGGUAUCACCAGUCUCCACACUCUCUUCACUAUCCACAGUCUAUCCAGUCUACGCAGUGUCUCUACCCAUGGACUUUACUGUCCACUCAUUCAAAUCUGACCUUAGACCAGUGGAUAUAGAACAUGAAGUUGGAACAAAACCUGAUCAGUAUGAUAUUACUUCUGACAGCAACGCCAAGCCUGAUCAAAACACAACACAUGUGUAUGCUGGGAGACCUGAUAGGGAUGAUGUAAAACCUACUGGAAAUAACAGAAGCCCUGUUGAUGACUCAGAACUCACUGAUUGGCCAGUCCAGGGUGAGGAUAUAGUGGGAAGGUCUGCAGCAACAGAGAAGGAGCCGGAAACCAGUGUGGAACAGAAACACUGGCAGGAAAUGGCUGCCAUCACCAGUCACCCCACAAGAGAGAGCAGCUAUCCUCAGAAUUGUAGAGAGGACAGAGAGAGCAGCAAUCCUUCUCAGGGUUGGGAGGACAGAGAGAGCAGCAAUCCUUCUCAGGGUUGGGAGGACAGAGAGAGCAGCAAUCCUUCUCAGGGUUGGGAGGACAGAGAGAGCAGCAAUCCUUCUCAGGGUUGGGAGGACAGAGAGAGCAGCAAUCCUUCUCAGGGUUGGGAGGACAGAAAGAGCAGCAAUCUUUCUCAGGGUUGUGAGGACAGCGAGAGCGGCCAUCUCUCUGAGGAAAGAGGAGGCUCUACUCCUGUCACUCAGGACCUGCCUAGUGGGGACACUCACUUACAGCCCUGCAAAGGUCCUCCAUCCUCCUUGUCCCAUUUCCUUUCAAUAGGUUCAGAAUGGAGAGAGGGGAGGUUGAGUUCAGAGGGAGGAACUGAACCCACUGACUGCAGAAACCUGUCUGAGAAGAACACAGAGGACGGAACACACGCGGAGGACAGAACACACGCGGAGGACGGAACACACGCGGAGGACGGAACACACGCAGAGGACAGAACACACGCGGAGGACGGAACACACGCGGAGGACGGAACACACGCGGAGGACGGAACAACACGCGGAGGACGGAACACACGCGGAGGACAGAACACACGCGGAGGACAGAACACACGCGGAGGACGGAACACACGCGGAGGACGGAAC
Molecule: long non-coding RNA, 3157 nt
Organism: Oncorhynchus tshawytscha (Chinook salmon)
Lineage: Eukaryota; Metazoa; Chordata; Actinopteri; Salmoniformes; Salmonidae
Source: Ensembl